RNAcentral lists this ribosomal RNA (453 nucleotides) under uncultured bacterium. RNAcentral's name for it is "bacterial SSU rRNA". It matches the Rfam family "Bacterial small subunit ribosomal RNA", at positions 349 to 793 of the family's 1533-position model. The record is from RNAcentral.
CAGCAGUGGGGGAAUAUUGCACAAUGGGCGCAAGCCUGAUGCAGCCAUGCCGCGUGUAUGAAGAAGGCCUUCGGGUUGUAAAGUACUUUCAGCAGUGAGGAAGGCGGAGUCGUUAAUAGCGGCCUCGUUUGACGUUAGCUGCAGAAGAAGCACCGGCUAACUCCGUGCCAGCAGCCGCGGUAAUACGGAGGGUGCGAGCGUUAAUCGGAAUUACUGGGCGUAAAGCGCAUGCAGGUGGUUCGUUAAGUCAGAUGUGAAAGCCCGGGGCUCAACCUCGGAAUUGCAUUUGAAACUGGCAGACUAGAGUACUGUAGAGGGGGUAGAAUUUCAGGUGUAGCGGUGAAAUGCGUAGAGAUCUGAAGGAAUACCGGUGGCGAAGGCGGCCCCCUCGGACAGAUACUGACACUCAGAUGCGAAAGCGUGGGGAGCAAACAGGAUUAGAUACCCUGGUAG